CGCGGGAUUGGGGCGGGGGCACGGCGGGACGGGGUGCAGCAGGCGCAAAACCUUUACAAUGCACGCAAGUGUGAUAAGGGGACCCCAAGUGCUCAUGUUUACAUGGGCUUUUGCCAAGCCUAAAAAUCUUGGCGAAUAAGUGGUGGGCAAGACUGGUGCCAGCCGCCGCGGUAACACCAGCGCCACGAGGGGGGAUCAUUUUUAUUGGGCCUAAAGCGUCCGUACCCGGUUUAGUAAAUCUUUUGUGAAAUCGCCAGGCUUAACUUGGCGGCGUGCAGAAGACACUGCUAAACUUGGAACCAGGAGGAGUCAGAAUUAUUCUGGGGGGAGCGGUAAAAUGCUAUAAUCCCUAGAGGAAUACCUGUGGCGAAGGCGUCUGACUAGAAUGGAUUCGACGGUGAGGGACGAAAGCCAGGGGAUCAAAUCGGAUUAGAUACCCGAGUAGUCCUGGCUGUAAACGCUGCGAGCUAGGUGUUGUAUAUGCUACUUGAAUAUGCAGUAUCGGAACGAAGGUGUUAAGCUCGCCGCCUGGGAAGUACGGUCGCAAGACUGAAACUUAAAGGAAUUGGCGGGGGAGCACCACAAGGGGUGCGGCGUGCGGUUUAAUGUAAUUCAACACAGAGAACCUCACCAGGGGCGACGGCAGAAUGAAAGUCAGUGUAAAGGGCUUACUUGACAAUCCGAGAGGUGGUGCAUGGCCGCCGUCAGCUCGUGCUGUAAGGUGUCCUCUUAAGUGAGGUAACGAGCGAGACCUGUAUCCACAAUUGCUAGCAAGUCCUUCAGGACGAUUGAGCACAUUGUGGAGACUGCCUUGGAAACAAGGAGGAAGGUGCAGGCUCCGGUAGGUCUGUAUGCCCCGAAUCCUCUGGGGUACACGCGCGCAACAAUGGUAGAGACAAUGGGAUACAACUCCGAAAGGAGAAGUUAAUCCUCUAAACUCUAUCCAAGUCCGGAUUGAGGAUUGCAACCCAUCCUCAUGACGAUGGAAUCCCUAGUAAUCGCGAGUCAUCAGCUUGCGGUGAAUAUGUCCCUGCUCCUUGCACGAAUUCGCCGAAUCACUAGU
Molecule: ribosomal RNA, 1063 nt
Filed under: uncultured crenarchaeote
Lineage: Archaea; Thermoproteati; Thermoproteota
Description: bacterial SSU rRNA
Rfam family: Archaeal small subunit ribosomal RNA
Source: RNAcentral